Molecule: small RNA, 394 nt
Filed under: Marinobacter salarius
Lineage: Bacteria; Pseudomonadati; Pseudomonadota; Gammaproteobacteria; Pseudomonadales; Marinobacteraceae
Source: RNAcentral
AAAACAACAGUGACAACGCAGCGCCAACAACAAGAACAAAAAGCUGUAGAAGACGUUCGGUAACAAAAACAAAAACAGAACGUGAGCGAACUGAGUGUUUUGGGUACUUUGCUUUUUAGUGGUCCCACGGCACGUGCGAGUUGUAGAUGUAGAGAAGAAUCGUCUUCCAGGCGGCACUGCAUUUACCCAAUGACUUGCCCGAUGUCUCUGACUGCUCUGUGUAUUCAAAGCUUUCCGUUUGCACUCCUGGAAUCCCUAAGCUUGGGGAUUGACAGUGGGGUAGAAAAACGAAGAAAAAUCCCGGUAAAAACAAAAACAAUGCAGAUCGUCAACGCUUUCAGGGCGGGUUCGUGUAAACGAAUCCGCCUUUUGAUUAUCUGGCCCAACCAUUUUU